RNAcentral lists this long non-coding RNA (490 nucleotides) under Homo sapiens (human). RNAcentral describes it as "non-protein coding lnc-VIRMA-2:1". Lineage: Eukaryota; Metazoa; Chordata; Mammalia; Primates; Hominidae. The record is from RNAcentral.
AGCUAAUAGAGGAAACUGGAUGGCUGAGGAAGGAUGUGGAGAGGAGAUUUACUUUAGAAAUUCAUUUAUUAUUAAAUAUUUCAGACAUACCAGAAGGUACAAACAAUAAUAUAAGGCAUGCUUGUGAAAUUAACAUUAACCUAAAUAACAAAACAUUACCAAGGCAUGUGAAGCCUUUCUGUUCUUCUCCAUUACAUCUCCUUCCAGUUUACCACUAUCUUGAAAUUUUAGUUACUCCAAUACAUGACUUUAUAAUUUCAUGACAUAUGUACACUCCUAAAAUUUUAUAUUCUUUUGCACGUUUUUAAAUAUAUAGAUGUUAUUUUACACUAUAUAUUUUUUAUUUCCUUUUCUAAGAGAUGGGUGUCCCCACUGGCCUCCAACUCCUGGGCUUAAGAGAUUCUCCUGUCUCAGCUUCCCGAGAAGUUGGGACCACAGGAACACGCCACCGCACCCGGCUUGCGAUGAGAGGAGUUAAACUUGUUUUGUU